RNAcentral lists this ribosomal RNA (1313 nucleotides) under uncultured bacterium. RNAcentral describes it as "bacterial SSU rRNA". It matches the Rfam family "Bacterial small subunit ribosomal RNA", at positions 93 to 1407 of the family's 1533-position model. The record is from RNAcentral.
CAGUGGCGGACGGGUGCGUAACACGUACGCAAGCUACCUAAGGGUGGGGGACAACCCGGGGAAACCCAGGCUAAUACCCCAUAAUGCAGCGGCCCCGCAUGGGGAUGUUGUUAAAGAUUUAUUGCCUUUAGAUGCGCGUGCGUCCGAUUAGCUAGUUGGUGAGGUAAUGGCUCACCAAGGCGACGAUCGGUAGCUGGUCUGAGAGGAUGAUCAGCCACACUGGCACUGAGACACGGGCCAGACUCCUACGGGAGGCAGCAGUAGGGAAUAUUGGGCAAUGGGCGGAAGCCUGACCCAGCCAUGCCGCGUGAACGAUGAAGGUCCAUCGGAUUGUAAAGUUCUUUUCUCUGGGGAUAAAGACCCAUUUGAUGGGAGUUGAAGGUACCAGAGGAAUAAGCACCGGCUAACUACGUGCCAGCAGCCGCGGUAAUACGUAGGGUGCAAGCGUUGUCCGGAUUUACUGGGUUUAAAGGGUGCGUAGGCGGAGCGGUCAGUCGGUGAUGAAAUNNNNNNNCUCAACCUUACCCGCUGUUACCGAUACUGCCGUUCUUGAGUUCAGCAGAGGUGGCUGGAAUGAGCAGUGUAGCGGUGAAAUGCGUAGAUAUUGCUCAGAACACCAAUUGAGAAGUCAGGCCACUGGGCUGCAACUGACGCUGAGGCACGAAAGCGUGGGGAUCAAACAGGAUUAGAUACCCUGGUAGUCCACGCUGUAAACGAUGGGUACUAGAUAUCUCUACGUUGGUAGGGGUGUCCAAGCGAAAGCGAUAAGUACCCCACCUGGGGAGUACGCUCGCAAGGGUGAAACUCAAAAGAAUUGACGGGGGCCCGCACAAGCGGUGGAGCAUGUGGUUUAAUUCGAUGGUACACGAGGAACCUUACCUGGGCUAGAAUGUGCGUGAUCGCCUCUGAAAGGGGGUUUACCCGCAAGGGACACAAAACAAGGUGCUGCAUGGCUGUCGUCAGCUCGUGCCGUGAGGUGUUGGGUUAAGUCCCGCAACGAGCGCAACCCCUGUCGUUAGUUACCAGCAGGUUAAGCUGGGUACUCUGACGAGACUGCCUUCGUAAGGAGUGAGGAAGGAGGGGACGACGUCAAGUCAUCAUGGCCCUUACGCCCAGGGCUACACACGUGCUACAAUGGCCGGUACAAAGGGUUGCCAACGCGCAAGCGGGAGCGAAUCUCAGAAAACCGGUCUCAGUUCGGAUCGUGGUCUGCAACUCGACCACGUGAAGUCGGAAUCGCUAGUAAUCGUAGAUCAGCUAUGCUACGGUGAAUACGUUCCCGGGCCUUGUACACACCGCCCGUCAAGCCAUGG